UACGUAGGGUCCGAGCGUUGUCCGGAAUUAUUGGGCGUAAAGCGCGUGUAGGCGGUCCGGUAAGUCCGCUGUGAAAGUCGGGGGCUCAACCCUCGGAUGCCGGUGGAUACUGUCGGGCUUGAGUACGGAAGAGGCGAGUGGAAUUCCUGGUGUAGCGGUGAAAUGCGCAGAUAUCAGGAGGAACACCAAUUGCGAAGGCAGCUCGCUGGGACGUUACUGACGCUGAGACGCGAAAGCGUGGGGAGCAAGCAGG
Molecule: ribosomal RNA, 253 nt
Filed under: uncultured bacterium
Lineage: Bacteria
Description: partial 16S ribosomal RNA
Rfam family: Bacterial small subunit ribosomal RNA
Source: RNAcentral